This 63-nucleotide transfer RNA is filed under the name Lachnaia tristigma. RNAcentral's name for it is "tRNA-Glu". It matches the Rfam family "tRNA". Rfam says of the family: Transfer RNA (tRNA) molecules are approximately 80 nucleotides in length. Their secondary structure includes four short double-helical elements and three loops (D, anti-codon, and T loops). Further hydrogen bonds mediate the characteristic L-shaped molecular structure. tRNAs have two regions of fundamental functional importance: the anti-codon, which is responsible for specific mRNA codon recognition, and the 3' end, to which the tRNAs corresponding amino acid is attached (by aminoacyl-tRNA synthetases). tRNAs cope with the degeneracy of the genetic code in two manners: having more than one tRNA (with a specific anti-codon) for a particular amino acid; and 'wobble' base-pairing, i.e. permitting non-standard base-pairing at the 3rd anti-codon position. The record is from RNAcentral. Lineage: Eukaryota; Metazoa; Arthropoda; Insecta; Coleoptera; Chrysomelidae. RNAcentral also lists the same sequence under 1 other name.
UUUUAUAUAGUUUAGAAAAACAUCACACUUUCAUUGUGAAGACAGGGCAAUCCCUUGUAAUAC